AUGGCAACUGCCGAUGAUCUCAAGAAGCUUGAGGAGGAACUCAAGAACCGCGAGUCCAUCAUCCGGACCCGCGAGGAUGAACUACAACGCCAAGCUGAAGAACGGGGGAAGGCUGUCGUCCUCCCUGCGGCCUCCACGUACGCCGCUUCCAUCAAGACCUUCGUCCCCAUCACCCUUGAUCUCCACGACUCCAACUACGCCAAGUGGCGUGAGCUAUUCCUCGUCGCUCUUGGUCGCUACGGUCUCUCCAAUCAUGUUCUCUCAGAGAAUACCCCAACGGACACCUCCCACACCUCUGAUUGGGGUCGCGAUGACUUCACUGUCCUCUCAUGGAUUUAUGGAUCGAUUUCUCUCGAGCUCUUCGGCGUCAUCAUGAAACCAGGUUCCACCGCAAAGCAAGUUUGGGACGCCAUCGCCAACCUAUUCCGAGACAACAAGAAGAGUCGUGCUCUGGCUCUCGAUGCAGAAUUUCGCAACACAACUCAAGGGGACAUGACGAUCUCCGCCUAUUGUGCCAAGCUUAAGACUCUCUCUGAUGCACUUGAUGAUGUCGAGCAGCCGGUCACCGACGAGACCCUCGUGCUGACCUUGCUUCGCGGCCUCAACGAACAGUACUCACACCUGCGUUCGUUCCUUCCGUUCCAAGUGCCGUUUCCAUCCUUCCUUCAGACACGGUCCGCGCUUGUUCUUGAGGAAGCCCAGAAAAAGACCGAUGCAAAGAAUUCUGCCUCCACUGCUCUUUGGGCCAGCGGCAACAGUGUGCUUCCCGGCGCUGGUGGCGAACGCACUCCACCGCCGAACGAUGGGCGCUCCUUCUCCACUGAUCGCCGCGGCCCAGCACCACUACCUUCUCCAGGAGGCCGCGGAGGAAGCAAUAGUGGCCGCGGCCGUGGCCGUGGCGGGCGUGGUCGUCGCGAUACACCAUGGAUGUACAAUCCAUGGACUGGACAGCCGACGCGUCUCCAUCAGCAACAGAUGCCGUCGCCUCAUUAUCAUCAACCACCAGCAUCGUCGCCCACUUGGUCGCCUCGUCCAUGGCGCCCUACAGCUCCUGGGGUACUCGGUCCACGCCCUACCACACCGUCCCCACAAGCGUAUGCAACAUAUGGUCAUGGUCCUGCGGCUCCUUACAACCCUCCAGCGCAUUACAACAACUUCCAGCAACAUGUAGACCCAGCGCUCCUCACCGCGCUCAACAACAUGCAGCUCCCCGGCAACCAGGAGUGGUUCAUGGACUCCGGCGCAUCGUCCCAUAUGGCAUCUGAUCCUGGCACUUCCUACUCGGACCGAGAUACUUCGAUGCAAUAG
RNAcentral lists this ribosomal RNA (1308 nucleotides) under Triticum aestivum (bread wheat). RNAcentral's name for it is "partial small subunit ribosomal RNA". Lineage: Eukaryota; Viridiplantae; Streptophyta; Magnoliopsida; Poales; Poaceae. The record is from RNAcentral.